Molecule: ribosomal RNA, 497 nt
Filed under: uncultured bacterium
Lineage: Bacteria
Description: partial 16S ribosomal RNA
Rfam family: Bacterial small subunit ribosomal RNA
Source: RNAcentral
GAUGAACGCUGGCGGCGUGCCUAAUACAUGCAAGUCGAGCGAACGGACGAGAAGCUUGCUUCUCUGAUGUUAGCGGCGGACGGGUGAGUAACACGUGGAUAACCUACCUAUAAGACUGGGAUAACUUCGGGAAACCGGAGCUAGUACCGGAUAAUAUUUUGAACCGCAUGGUUCAAAAGUGAAAGACGGUCUUGCGGUCACUUAUAGAUGGAUCCGCGCUGCAUUAGCUAGUUGGUAAGGUAACGGCUUACCAAGGCAACGAUGCAUAGCCGACCUGAGAGGGUGAUCGCCCACACUGGAACGGAGACACGGUCCAGACUCCUACGGGAGGCAGCAGUAUGGAAUCUUCCGCAAUGGGCGAAAGCCUUACGGAGCAACGCCGCGUGAGUGAUAACGGUCUUCGGAUCGUAAAACUCUGUUAUUAGUGAAAAACAUAUGUGUAAGUAACUGUGCACAUCUUGACGGUACCUAAUCAGAAAGCCACGGCUAACUACGUG